Paramacrobiotus metropolitanus is the source of this 1142-nucleotide long non-coding RNA. RefSeq lists it as uncharacterized. NCBI's taxonomy places the organism in Eukaryota, Metazoa, Tardigrada, Eutardigrada, Parachela, Macrobiotidae. The record is from RefSeq and is a predicted model, not a curated record. The transcript is spliced from 4 exons.
CUUGCUUCUUGACAAUUUUGAACUUUUACAAUGAAUUAUUGCAGUACUCGUAGAGAAGUUAAUGUUAACAAAACUUUUUUUAAUUUCUGUGGUUAAACGUUAAAACUGAAACUUCUUCAUCAAGGUCCAAGGGUUUGUUUAAAAAAGCCGUCGGCAUAUAUUCGCGAAGCGAUCGUCUCUCAAAUUCGCGAGAAUCCAUACUAAGUGUAUGUCAUUAGGACUGUUCGUUCCUAUUCCUAACCAUUAUUCUCGCUUGAUCUCCUUCGACAUGGCCAGUAAUCCAGAAAAUAAACCCGAGAAGCUUGACAUUGGUGGAAGAAGUACGUUUCCAUCCAUGCUGUUGAUCAACAAACGUCCAUGCGAAACACAUCCCAGAGCACUUGCGGCGGAAAGUGUUGUGCUACAAAAGCGAGGGCAAAUUAUGAUGGAUCGGUUAAAAAAAUUUCUACCCGAAAUGAAGAACUCUGCUGAAGCGCUGGAAGAAAGCCUGAAAAGCACCGAUAAUGCCGAUCGCUUUAACAUUGAGAGUGUGAAGGAAGGAGUCCGUCGUUGAAUUCAACCUGGGGCUGUUCGAGUAUUCUUCCAGUGAAUCAGAAGAAGAGCUGGAUGUGUUGGAUAGCUCAGACUCCGAUUCAAGUGACGAAGAAGCUGCCGGAAAAGCGCCUGAUGAUUUAAUUAGUGUGCUAAGUAAGAAGAGUACCUCUGGACCGAGAUAGCUCUUCGGUUAGGUGCAUUUGGGAAUUCUGUCUUGUGAUAAAAUUUGUUUUUCCUGAAUCUUUACUUUUCCUGUUAAGUGUUAUCAGUUUACCAGUGUACCACGUCGACGCAUGCUCAGGCGUUUGCAGCAUUUUGUUAAGCUCCAAGGGACCAAGCGGAAACGAUGCGCUCGGCCGAUACCCGAACGUCGCAUGUGGUUGUUCUCAGCGCGUACGGUUAUUUCGUUUUGCCUAUUGUCUGGUAUGUUGAACUAUCAUGGCUGAACAGUCUGAACCUGGAAGUCUGGAACAUUAGUAUGCAUUAUGGAAAACAGCAUCUGGAUUCCAGAAGCUGUGCAUCGUUUCGGUAGUAAUGGGAUGGUUUCACCUUCUUAACUUGCCUGCUUAAAAUGCGCAUUUACGCCAUUUAAAGCUCAGCUAAACCUA